This 581-nucleotide ribosomal RNA is filed under the name uncultured bacterium. RNAcentral describes it as "bacterial SSU rRNA". It matches the Rfam family "Bacterial small subunit ribosomal RNA", at positions 99 to 695 of the family's 1533-position model. The record is from RNAcentral.
CGAACGGGUGAGUAACACGUGAGCAACCUGCCCUUCAGAGGGGGACAACAGUUGGAAACGACUGCUAAUACCGCAUAAGACCACGGUGUGGCAUCACACAGAGGUCAAAGGAGAAAUCCGCUGAAGGAUGGGCUCGCGUCCAAUUAGCUAGAUGGUGAGGUAACGGCCCACCAUGGCGACGAUUGGUAGCCGGACUGAGAGGUUGAUCGGCCACAUUGGGACUGAGACACGGCCCAGACUCCUACGGGAGGCAGCAGUGGGGAAUAUUGCACAAUGGAGGAAACUCUGACGCAGUGACGCCGCGUAUAGGAAGAAGGUUUUCGGAUUGUAAACUAUUGUCGUUAGGGAAGAGAAAGGACAGUACCUAAGGAGGAAGCUCCGGCUAACUACGUGCCAGCAGCCGCGGUAAUACGUAGGGAGCGAGCGUUAUCCGGAAUUAUUGGGUGUAAAGGGUGCGUAGACGGGAAGAUAAGUUAGUUGUGAAAUCCCUCGGCUUAACUGAGGAACUGCAACUAAAACUGUUUUUCUUGAGUGCAGGAGAGGUAAGUGGAAUUCCUAGUGUAGCGGUGAAAUGCGUAGAU